UACGAAGGGGGCUAGCGUUGCUCGGAAUCACUGGGCGUAAAGCGCACGUAGGCGGACUCUUAAGUCGGUGGUGAAAUCCUGGAGCUCAACUCCAGAACUGCCUUCGAUACUGGGAGUCUUGAGUCCGGGAGAGGUGAGUGGAACUGCGAGUGUAGAGGUGAAAAUUCGUAGAUAUUCGCAAGAACACCAGUGGCGAAGGCGGCUCACUGGCCCGGUACUGACGCUGAGGUGCGAAAGCGUGGGGAGCAAACAGG
Molecule: ribosomal RNA, 254 nt
Filed under: uncultured bacterium
Lineage: Bacteria
Description: partial 16S ribosomal RNA
Rfam family: Bacterial small subunit ribosomal RNA
Source: RNAcentral